AUUGAACGCUGGCGGCAGGCCUAACACAUGCAAGUCGAACGAGUGGCGGACGGGUGAGUAAUAUCUGGGAAAAUGCCUGAUGGAGGGGGAUAACUACUGGAAACGGUAGCUAAUACCGCAUACCAUCGGAUGUGCCCAGAUGGGAUUAGCUAGUAGGUGGGGUAAAGGCUCACCUAGGCGACGAUCCCUAGCUUGUCUGAGAGGAUGAACAGCAACACUGGAACUGGGACACGGUCCAGACUCCUACGGGAGGCAGCAGUGGGGAAUAUUGCACAAGGGGCGCAAGCCGGAUGCAGCCAUGCCGCGUGUAUGAAGAAGGCCGUCGGGUUGUAAAGUACUUUCAGCGGGGAGGCGUUACCCGCAGAAGAAGCACCGGCUAACUCCGUGCCAGCAGCCGCGGUAAUAC
Molecule: ribosomal RNA, 406 nt
Filed under: uncultured bacterium
Lineage: Bacteria
Description: partial 16S ribosomal RNA
Rfam family: Bacterial small subunit ribosomal RNA
Source: RNAcentral